GUGACAGAAGAGAGUGAGCACCCAUGGCCUUUCUAGCAUGCAUGCUUGAAGUGAUGUGUGCUCACCCUCUGUCUGUCAC
RNAcentral lists this microRNA precursor (79 nucleotides) under Helianthus annuus (common sunflower). RNAcentral describes it as "sRNA HanXRQr2_Chr10g0456441". It matches the Rfam family "mir-156 microRNA precursor family". Rfam says of the family: This family represents the plant microRNA (miRNA) precursor mir-156. Animal miRNAs are transcribed as ~70nt precursors and subsequently processed by the Dicer enzyme to give a ~22nt product. RNAcentral also lists the same sequence under 1 other name. Lineage: Eukaryota; Viridiplantae; Streptophyta; Magnoliopsida; Asterales; Asteraceae. The record is from Rfam by way of RNAcentral.